Molecule: ribosomal RNA, 586 nt
Filed under: uncultured Arthrobacter sp.
Lineage: Bacteria; Bacillati; Actinomycetota; Actinomycetes; Micrococcales; Micrococcaceae
Description: bacterial SSU rRNA
Rfam family: Bacterial small subunit ribosomal RNA
Source: RNAcentral
AACAGGAUUAGAUACCCUGGUAGUCCAUGCCGUAAACGUUGGGCACUAGGUGUGGGGGACAUUCCACGUUUUCCGCGCGGUAGCUAACGCAUUAAGUGCCCCCGCCUGGGGAGUACGGCCGCAAGGCUAAAACUCAAAGGAAUUGACGGGGGCCCGCACAAGCGGCGGAGCAUGCGGAUUAAUUCGAUGCAACGCGAAGAACCUUACCAAGGCUUGACAUGAACCGGAAUGAUGCAGAGAUGUGUCAGCCACUUGUGGCCGGUUUACAGGUGGUGCAUGGUUGUCGUCAGCUCGUGUCGUGAGAUGUUGGGUUAAGUCCCGCAACGAGCGCAACCCUCGUUCCAUGUUGCCAGCACGUGAUGGUGGGGACUCAUAGGAGACUGCCGGGGUCAACUCGGAGGAAGGUGGGGACGACGUCAAAUCAUCAUGCCCCUUAUGUCUUGGGCUUCACGCAUGCUACAAUGGCCGGUACAAAGGGUUGCGAUACUGUGAGGUGGAGCUAAUCCCAAAAAGCCGGUCUCAGUUCGGAUUGGGGUCUGCAACUCGACCCCAUGAAGUCGGAGUCGCUAGAAUCGCAGUCAGGCAA